This 253-nucleotide ribosomal RNA is filed under the name uncultured bacterium. RNAcentral's name for it is "partial 16S ribosomal RNA". It matches the Rfam family "Bacterial small subunit ribosomal RNA", at positions 524 to 776 of the family's 1533-position model. The record is from RNAcentral.
GACGUAGGGUGCAAGCGUUGUCCGGAAUUAUUGGGCGUAAAGGGCUCGUAGGCGGUCCAUCGCGUCGGGAGUGAAAAGCUGGGGCUUAACCCCAGUCCUGCUUCCGAUACGGGUGGACUAGAGGUAGGUAGGGGAGAACGGAAUUCCUGGUGUAGCGGUGAAAUGCGCAGAUAUCAGGAGGAACACCGGUGGCGAAGGCGGUUCUCUGGGCCUUACCUGACGCUGAGGAGCGAAAGCAUGGGGAGCAAACAGG